GUGGCUGGUACAGGAGCAGAGUAUCGAGAGCCUCUGGUUUUGUGCCCCAAAAGGUCGGGCGGCCACUCUAGAUGCAAGAGGAUCUGUAAUGCGGAAGGUUUAAGGGAAGGACCCCAUCCGGCUUGCGUGGUGCCAGGAUUGUACACGGUCCCUCGGUGCAACUGACUGGGGAUGGAUCGGGCCCCCAGAUCAGAGAGAAUGAAGACUUCAUUCGAUCCAGUAUCCACUUCAUGCGUUCUCCAAUACACUGAAUACCUGCAGCCUUAGAGAACUGUCUGCUGGUUGAACUAGAACACUGGGAUGAGACAGGAUGAUGACUCCAAUCUAGGAGAGAUGUCUCCCAAGUACACCUGCUGGAGGAGAAUCUGAUCUUCUAAGGAUGAUCUCCCAAAACCCCAAAGCCAAGCAACCAGUAGGAGUUCAAUAACCCAUUGGGAGAAGAGCCAGCCUAUCUGAUCUUAGGCAACC
This is a non-coding RNA of Pogona vitticeps (central bearded dragon), 468 nucleotides long. NCBI's taxonomy places the organism in Eukaryota, Metazoa, Chordata, Lepidosauria, Squamata, Agamidae. The record is from RefSeq and is a predicted model, not a curated record.